AUUUUGUUUUUAUGUCAGAAAAACAAAAAUGCACUUUUUAAAAUAAAAAGCUGAUAAAAUUGAGUCAUCUUACUUAGUAAUUUAAACCUAUUUAAAUGAAUGUGAUUAGCAUCUCUUUGGUCAUAACUACUCUCAAAGUUCUGGGGAGAGAGGUUUGAUUUUCAUGUACCCUACAUGGCCUUUGUCCAGCAUGAUUAAAGUGUUUUGGCGUCUGCCUUGAGAGAGGCCCCUGUUAUAUCUGUAGUUGCAGUGAGACUAAGAAUUCCUCUACUGUUAUCCCAGCUGUUUGCAGGGCUUAGAUAGCUGCCUUCAGUCCCUCAAAUAUGGCCAAAAUACUACUGUCUCUUUGGUAGGCCACCUCAACUAAAAUCAUCCUUGAGAAAGAAAAGUAAAUUAAAAAGUUACCUCCUGCUUUAGAGUUGUUUCCUUUCUCUCAGUGAAUUUCUUUUUCUCAGUGAGUUACUGAAAAAUGGAGUAGCUUCUGUAUUCAUGUGUAAAUGCAGAAUGCACAUAGAAGUUACUCCAUUUUUCAGUCUGUCUUUUGUUUUAAUAAGUCCCAAAAGAAAUGAUAAAAAAAAAAAAUCCUAGAUUCUUAUUGUGAGGCCAAUUGUCUUGUGG
This 618-nucleotide long non-coding RNA is filed under the name Bos taurus (domestic cattle). RNAcentral's name for it is "long non-coding RNA NONBTAT025325". Lineage: Eukaryota; Metazoa; Chordata; Mammalia; Artiodactyla; Bovidae. The record is from RNAcentral.